This 419-nucleotide ribosomal RNA is filed under the name uncultured bacterium. RNAcentral describes it as "bacterial SSU rRNA". It matches the Rfam family "Bacterial small subunit ribosomal RNA", at positions 1061 to 1481 of the family's 1533-position model. The record is from RNAcentral.
CGUGUCGUGAGAUGUUGGGUUAAGUCCCGCAACGAGCGCAACCCUUAUUACUAGUUGCCAGCAUUUAGUUGGGCACUCUAGUGAGACUGCCGGUGACAAACCGGAGGAAGGUGGGGGUGACGUCAAAUCAUCAUGCCCCUUAUGACCUGGGCUACACACGUGCUACAAUGGCGUAUACAACGAGUUGCCAACCCGCGAGGGUGAGCUAAUCUCUUAAAGUACGUCUCAGUUCGGAUUGUAGGCUGCAACUCGCCUACAUGAAGUCGGAAUCGCUAGUAAUCGCGGAUCAGCAUGCCGCGGUGAAUACGUUCCCGGGUCUUGUACACACCGCCCGUCACACCAUGAGAGUUUGUAACACCCAAAGCCGGUGGGGUAACCUUCGGGAGCCAGCCGUCUAAGGUGGGACAGAUGAUUAGGGU